GUUUUACCUGGUAAAGUGAAUGAUUAGAAGUCUUGGGGCUGAAACAAUCUCAACCUGUACUCAUACUUUCACUGGGUAAGAUGUCCAGCUCACUGGCAUGGAGCUGGGCCAUGGAAAGCU
Molecule: non-coding RNA, 120 nt
Filed under: Callipepla squamata (scaled quail)
Lineage: Eukaryota; Metazoa; Chordata; Aves; Galliformes; Odontophoridae
Description: Eukaryotic large subunit ribosomal RNA
Rfam family: Eukaryotic large subunit ribosomal RNA
Source: Rfam by way of RNAcentral